CCAACCUGAAAACCUGGAUGUUAGGAAUAGUUCCUGAGCCCGUGGGCAAGGCUGGCUAGAUGAUCCUCUGCAUGGAUACUUGCACUCAAGUGUGUUGUCUUUCAUCAGGUCUGCAGGGAACAACAGUACUGAGACUUGUCAAGUCUGCUGCCCCUUCAUCUCAGUCUUUCCCAGUUUUGGACUAUGUAGCCCCUUCCCAAAGUUUCCUAAAAAAGAAAGAAGGAUGAAAGAUCAUGAAAAAAAUGAAAGAUUAUGAAAAAACUGAAAAGACGGAAGUUCUUCACGUGCAUCAAUGAGCUAUGAAAAGUGAAAUUCACAUUUGCUAUCUCUUUUGAGUGAGGCUUUGAAGCAGAAUGUAGCUCCCAAAGGCAUAUCUUUCCCCAGGAAAGGAUGUGAGGCAGCAAUGGUGGUGCUUGAAAACAACAGCUUGGGAUUGCUAAUGGUUUACAGCAGCAGCCUGAUGACGUACUUUUGCUGGAAGACCAGCUCUCUGAACUGCAGGAAUAAAAAGCAGAGCUUGGCAUCUGAGAGCAAGUGUGAUCUAUGAGAUGAAGUGACCCAGCCCAGGAUAUCUCCUGCUUAUUCCCUGCAACCUGGCAUUGAAUCUUCAUGUCUGACUCUUCCUGUGUUUGAAACAAACUCUUGUUUUUUUAUAGAUCUACUUAAGCACCACAUAUGCAUUUGACUGUAACCCCGAAUGAGGCUGAAUGUGUAUGUGAGAAAGAUGGAAGUAAAAUAAAGUAAAUGAAAGCCCUCUCCAAGGAUUUUGGACCACUCCAGAUUCUUUCAAAGAAACAAAGGUUUCUGUUUACAAAGUGAGACAGCAAUCAGUCUCUUUCUAUCUUUGGGCCUUGCGUCUGCAAGGUGCUUUUAGAAAGUGUACAAAAUAUUUUACGUUUUUCAAUUUCUUCACUUCUUGAGUUGGCAUAUGUGUUUCUGUGCCAAUUCAGUCUGGUUCCAUGCAUCUUCUGCAGAUACUAGUGUGCAGCAAAUGGUCCCUUCAUUCAAGUUGGUUCCCAUUUACAGAUUGCAUUCAGUUCUUCUGCUGCUCUGCCUCAAAGCCCUUCCCAAAUGGGGAUCAGGCAGUGGCACAACCGUGGUAGCCAUGAAAUGGUAAGCUUCAUGCUUGGAGGGGUGUCUUUGUUACUAGCAAAUCCUCUGCCAGUUAAUUGCAGCUGUAAUAAAAUUUUAGCUCACUUUCUUUGUGAGAUACCAUUGGCAAGUCAUUCAGCAAAUCUUUCCACUCACCCACAUCCAGUAAGGUUCCUCUUUUUUUUUCUUUCUUUUUUUUUUUUUUUUUCCUGAAACGAGAAGAUAGCUGUUACAAUUCAGCCAGUCUGUAUUUUUCCUAUAUCUGACCAUCCCUUUUGCUGAAAGAAAACUACAUGAAGUCCACUGACCAUAAAAGGAUGGCUUUUGUUCUUCAUGUACUUAGUUGGUGGCUGAUGUUCAUAUGUCUUCUCUGCUUCAAUUCAAGCAAAUACCCUGAUUGAAUUGGCAAAUUAACAUGACAAUGUCAAUGUCAAGACCCAUUACAAUAAAGAGAGAAAGAUCUUAUUUGCAGAGUAGUUUCUUAACAGCCUGGUUAUGGAGGAGCACUUUCCCCUCUGGAACUGCAUAGGUCAUGUAAUCACAAGGAAUAGUCUGUGGUGAUUAAUUUGUUCAUCUAUUUUCAUGCUUUUCUUCAAAAGAAUUCCUGAGAAGACAACAGAAAUGUCAUUUAUCCAGCUCCCAUCACAAUCCCUUAGCUGAUUUUUUACAGAAGUUCCUAGAAAAGCUGUUUUUCAUUCCUACAGUUUUGUUCGGUGACUUUAACUGAGGCAGACUGGCACAGGCAAUGAACUUCAAAAUUUUCUUUUCUUUUCUUUUCUUUUCUUUUCUUUUCUUUUCUUUUCUUUUCUUUUCUUUUCUUUUCUUUUCUUUUCUUUUCUUUUCUAGGGGGAUGUGAUUUGGCCACCUGAGGAUCUUUCACCGGCUUUGUGGAGCUUUCAGCUGGUUUUGAGGGCCAUAUCCUGUUCCAGCUGUAUCUGCACAAGAAAGAAUUUUAUCAUGGCUGAAAAGCCAAAUGCAAAUGCUGGUGCUUUUGGUGCUUUAUAGUGCUGAGACCGCUUCAGGAGAACAUUGGUGGGGAAGUUUGCCUGUGAAUUUUCUAAAAAGCUGAAGAUGAGCAACGCAGGUAAACCUGAGCCAUCGCCUGACUCCUCAUUUCAGAAAAGCAUUCCAAGUUCAUCAUUGUUCCCCAUGAAGGUUAUUGAUUAAUUAUAAAAUCAGAUGCUUAGAAUGGUUACUUGAGGGCUUAUAAAAUUGGAGUAAAAACAAAUAGGAAAGAUUCAAACAUUUAUAAAACAGAUUUAUUUCCGGAAUAUUUUGUUUGAAUAACUCCCCACUAAUUUCCAUCACUCUGUUUGGGGAAAAAAAACCACUUCUAUAAAGCUAGUUUUUAGUCUUCUUCACUGUCCUUUUCUUUUUGCUUCUUUUCUCUCUGAUACUUUUUUGUACAAUUCCCCCAACACACCACAAUAGCAAUGUAAUACUGCUUUCCAAACAUACAUGUGUGGAGGAUGGCUUUUUCUGAUGGUUAAUACUUGAUUUUGUUGCUCUGUUAGCCCCUCCUCUUGAAGUGGUGUGGCUGUUCUGUCAAUUUUUUUGUAAGAUGAGUGUGUGUUUGUAUGUGUGUGUGUGCAGAGGGAGUCCAGACUUCUGGUUGCUCUGGGCCACUAUAAUGGAUGUUUAGUUGUGAAUUGAAUGGAUACAAUAAAUACCACCUCUUUGAUAACU
Molecule: long non-coding RNA, 2778 nt
Organism: Tympanuchus pallidicinctus (lesser prairie-chicken)
Lineage: Eukaryota; Metazoa; Chordata; Aves; Galliformes; Phasianidae
Exons: 5
Source: RefSeq, a predicted model, not a curated record